GGCCUUGACAUACUAAGAACUUUCCAGAGAUGGAUUGGUGCCUUCGGGAACUUAGAUACAGGUGCUGCAUGGCUGUCGUCAGCUCGUGUCGUGAGAUGUUGGGUUAAGUCCGCAACGAGCGCAACCCUUUUCCUUAUUUGCCAGCGGGUAAUGCCGGGAACUUUAAGGAUACUGCCAGUGACAAACUGGAGGAAGGCGGGGACGACGUCAAGUCAUCAUGGCCCUUACGGCCAGGGCUACACACGUGCUACAAUGGUCGGUACAAAGGGUUGCUACCUCGCGAGAGGAUGCUAAUCUCAAAAAGCCGAUCGUAGUCCGGAUCGCAGUCUGCAACUCGACUGCGUGAAGUCGGAAUCGCUAGUAAUCGCGGAUCAGAAUGCCGCGGUGAAUACGUUCCCGGGCCUUGUACACACCGCCCGUCACACCAUGGGAGUUUGUUGCACCAGAAGUAGGUAGUCUAACCGCAAGGAGGACGCUUACUACGGUGUGGCCGAUGACUGGGGUGAAGUCGUAACAAGGUAGGCGUAGAUGA
This 532-nucleotide ribosomal RNA is filed under the name uncultured bacterium. RNAcentral describes it as "bacterial SSU rRNA". It matches the Rfam family "Bacterial small subunit ribosomal RNA", at positions 977 to 1509 of the family's 1533-position model. The record is from RNAcentral.